AGGUUUUUAGAAUGCUAUAUGUAGUUGUGCCUUUUUUAUCAAUUAGUUUUAGGUUUUUAGAAUGCUAUAUGUAGUUGUGCCUUUUUUAUCAAUUAGUUUUAGGUUUUUAGAAUGCUAUACAUUAAUAAGUUUCAGGUUUUUAGAAUGCUAUAUGUAGUUGUGCCUUUUUUAUCAAUUAGUUUUAGGUUUUUAGAAUGCUAUAUGUAGUUGUGUCUUUUUUAUCUAUUAGUUUUUGUUUUUUAUCAAAUGGAAAAUCUGUAAUUAUUAGUUAUUAAUCAUAAAGCCUCUUACUCACAUAACAGUUAUCAAUGAGUGGCCGCACACAUC
Astyanax mexicanus (Mexican tetra) is the source of this 327-nucleotide long non-coding RNA. RefSeq lists it as uncharacterized. The transcript has 3 exons. The record is from RefSeq and is a predicted model, not a curated record. NCBI's taxonomy places the organism in Eukaryota, Metazoa, Chordata, Actinopteri, Characiformes, Acestrorhamphidae.